UAUCAUGGGUGCUGUCUGGCUGUGGCAUCUCUUUCCCCAUUGGUUGCCAGUGUGGACUUGACUGAUCUGCCUGGCUAGCCAGCGGCUCCUUCUCCUCUCACCACUUCCUGUGAGUCCUCAAAGCUGUGUGUUUAGUUGAAGAGGGGCCCAUUCCUACGCAGGGUCUGAGAAGGUGUGUGUUAUAGCUGCACUCCCGUGUUAGCGCUCAUGACAGGUAGCAUGUAGUAAAUGGAUCCCUGGUCCAUGGCAGAAGGAGGUAAAAUGUUGUUACUUUCGAAAGCUUGGCAACUACU
Molecule: small nuclear RNA, 293 nt
Filed under: Microtus ochrogaster (prairie vole)
Lineage: Eukaryota; Metazoa; Chordata; Mammalia; Rodentia; Cricetidae
Description: 7SK RNA (ENSMOCG00000009896.1)
Rfam family: 7SK RNA
About the family: 7SK was discovered as an abundant small nuclear RNA in the mid-70s but a possible function has only recently been suggested. Two independent studies have found that 7SK RNA binds the CDK9/cyclin T complex (known as elongation factor P-TEFb). P-TEFb activates transcription by phosphorylating the C-terminal domain of RNA polymerase II.
Source: RNAcentral